RNAcentral lists this ribosomal RNA (501 nucleotides) under uncultured bacterium. RNAcentral describes it as "partial 16S ribosomal RNA". It matches the Rfam family "Bacterial small subunit ribosomal RNA", at positions 30 to 523 of the family's 1533-position model. The record is from RNAcentral.
AUUGAACGUUGGCGGCAUGCCUUACACAUGCAAGUCGAACGGCAGCACGGGUGCUUGCACCUGGUGGCGAGUGGCAAACGGGUGAGUAAUAUAUCGGAACGUACCUUAUUGUGGGGGAUAACGCAGCGAAAGCUGUGCUAAUACCGCAUAAUCCCUAAGGGGGAAAGCGGGGGACCGUAAGGCCUCGCGCAAUUAGAGCGGCCGAUACCUGAUUAGCUAGUUGGUGAGGUAAAGGCUCACCAAGGCAACGAUCAGUAGCUGGUCUGAGAGGACGAUCAGCCACACUGGGACUGAGACACGGCCCAGACUCCUACGGGAGGCAGCAGUGGGGAAUUUUGGACAAUGGGGGCAACCCUGAUCCAGCAAUGCCGCGUGAGUGAAGAAGGCCUUCGGGUUGUAAGGCUCUUUUGUCAGGGAAGAAACAGCAGCUCUAACACAGUAUGCGAAUGACGGUACCUGAAGAAUAAGCACCGGCUAACUACGUGCCAGCCGCCGCGGUAA